CCUACGGGAGGCUGCAGUGGGGAAUAUUGCACAAUGGGCGAAACCCUGAUGCAGCGACGCCGCGUGAAGGAAGAAGUAUCUCGGUAUGUAAACUUCUAUCAGUAGGGAAGAAAAUGACGGUACCUGACUCAGAAGCCCCGGCUAACUACGUUCCAGCAGCCGCGGUAAUACGUAGGGGGCAAGCGUUAUCCGGAUUUACUGGGUGUAAAGGGAGCGUAGACGGAAGGGCAAGUCUGAUGUGAAAGGCUGGGGCUUAACCCCAGGACUGCAUUGGAAACUGUUUUUCUAGAGUGCAGGAGAGGUAAGCGGAAUUCGUAGUGUAGCGGUGAAAUGCGUAGAUAUUAGGAGGAACACCAGUGGCGAAGGCGGCUUACUGGACGGUAACUGACGUUGAGGCUCGAAAGCGUGGGGAGCAAACAGGAUUAGAUACCCCAGUAGUC
This 440-nucleotide ribosomal RNA is filed under the name uncultured bacterium. Its description in RNAcentral is "partial 16S ribosomal RNA". It matches the Rfam family "Bacterial small subunit ribosomal RNA", at positions 338 to 795 of the family's 1533-position model. The record is from RNAcentral.